This 467-nucleotide ribosomal RNA is filed under the name uncultured bacterium. Its description in RNAcentral is "partial 16S ribosomal RNA". It matches the Rfam family "Bacterial small subunit ribosomal RNA", at positions 29 to 507 of the family's 1533-position model. The record is from RNAcentral.
ACGAACGCUGGCGGCGUGCUUAACACCUGCACGUCGAACGGAAAGGCCCUGCUUUUGUGGGGUGCUCGAGUGGCGAACGGGUGAGUAACACGUGAGUAACCUGCCCUUGACUUUGGGAUAACUUCAGGAAACUGGGGCUAAUACCGGAUAGGAGCUCCUGCUGCCUGGUGGGGGUUGGAAAGUUUCGGCGGUUGGGGAUGGACUCGCGGCUUAUCAGCUUGUUGGUGGGGUAGUGGCUUACCAAGGCUUUGACGGGUAGCCGGCCUGAGAGGGUGACCGGCCACAUUGGGACUGAGAUACGGCCCAGACUCCUACGGGAGGCAGCAGUGGGGAAUAUUGCACAAUGGGCGGAAGCCUGAUGCAGCAACGCCGCGUGCGGGAUGACGGCCUUCGGGUUGUAAACCGCUUUCGCCUGUGACGAAGCGUGAGUGACGGUAAUGGGUAAAGAAGCACCGGCUAACUACGUG